CUACAUGAAGCUGGAAUCGCUGUAAUCGCGGAUCAGAAUGCCGCGGUGAAUACGUUCCCGGGUCUUGUACACACCGCCCGUCACACCAUGGGAGUCGGAAAUGCCCGAAGUCUGUGACCCAACCUACGGGAGGGAGCAGCCGAAGGCAGGUCGGAUGACUGGGGUGAAGUCGUAACAAGGUAGC
Molecule: ribosomal RNA, 184 nt
Filed under: uncultured bacterium
Lineage: Bacteria
Description: partial 16S ribosomal RNA
Rfam family: Bacterial small subunit ribosomal RNA
Source: RNAcentral